This is a long non-coding RNA of Pezoporus flaviventris, 2599 nucleotides long. RefSeq lists it as uncharacterized. The transcript has 2 exons. The record is from RefSeq and is a predicted model, not a curated record. NCBI's taxonomy places the organism in Eukaryota, Metazoa, Chordata, Aves, Psittaciformes, Psittacidae.
GCUCCUGUAGAUCUUUCCAACCCUUAGUCAUUAAACAAAGUCCUGUUUAAUAGAAUCAUUGGUCUCCCCUUGCAUCAUCCUCUCUAUCACCCUCAUGCUGCUGUUGGCAAGGCCAGCCUAUGCAGCACCACUCCCUUCUAUGGAGACUCCAGAUGGGUUUCUCUUGGAAAAGACUUUGGAUGUCUGCCUGCCUGCCUGAGCAGUUGCCUGCCCUUUUGGGUGUCAGUUGUACUUGCACACGGUGAGUAAGGCUUGUGGGAUGCUUCCUGCUCCAUGGAAACCUGGGGAGCUUCAGAGCCACCUUUCCCACCUUGCAGGGCCAUUGGCCUGCACUGUGUCCCUGGAGACCCAUCUUUACCCUUUUUUUUUCCUCUUUUCUUGUAGAAAUAAGGAUGGAUGUGCUGAUAUGUGCAACAGACUGAGAGCAGGUAAUGCAAGAGAAAGUCCUGCUCGGGCUUCCCUCCUACGGAGACCAUAGGGUUUGUUUUUAAGGCAUCCUUGCUCUGAAUAAAGAUACCAGUAGUGGCAGUCUCCAUAAUUUUGUAGUGGUGGUCUCUUUCUGAGGCUUGAGCACACCUAUUGUGCCUGGGCAGUGUGAAGGUGUCAAGGUCCACCCCAAACAGUGCAUGUUGCUGCAAACCUUCAUGAGCUGUGGUGCAGUACGAAAGGGAGAGGGAGAGCAAGAGGUCAGUAAAUAGCGCUUUGGCUGAAAUUCUUGACAUUGAAGUCAUUUAAGUCUUGUUAAUAUGGCGAUCUCACCUGCUGGUUUUGGCCCACAGUAAUCUUGGCUACCAGAUCUACCCAACCAUCAUGGGAGACCAUUUGUUUGGGGUCCUAUGUCUGACUGUCUGGAAAAGGGAAUCGUGGUCUUGCAAAGUUGCUUUCUGUGGAUGCUAGACUAAUGGGUGGAUACAGGAUUCGCUCAGUGGAGAGGAGAAGCCAGCCCAUCUCCUGUCCUUCUCACAGAAUAAUAUUGUUUCUGGUUGCCCUCUGGCUAGGGUGCACUAAAAUGUUAAUAUAUGAGAUGUACAUGUAAAUAUGUUUCCCAAAGAUGGGAUGUGCACAGAGUUGUUUGCUGCAGAGCACUCAUGCCUGUCUUCCAUUUGCAUCAGGAUGAAGCUACCUGUAUGUUUAAUGAGUUUAAUUUUCAGUGCCAUGCAGCAGGUUUAUAACUGAUGUUUUAGUAAUUUAUUGUACAGAAGCAGAUAUCUUUCAUUGUUCCUUCUACAGCCCAUGAGCAUUGCAUAGGACUGAUCGUUCAUUUAGGCUUGACAAGACUUCCUCGUUCAUUGGGGUUGUCUCCUAUUUUUUUCCCUUCUUUAAUGAAGCAAAACCUCUUAGUUGUCCUGAAUUGCAAAGUAGGGAGUCAAUGUAGAAUUUUUCUCUCUUACUCACUGUGGCAUCAUCUCUUGUGUAAUAAAUUUUAGCACUUACAAAACCAAUAUCAUCACAAUGUCUUCAGAUGCAUGAUGUGUUUCCCCUUGCAUUGCUGCUGCCUCCCAAGGAAAGCUAUUUAUUGAUGAGGUGGCAUCCAGGAAAAGUCUGGGGGAUUUGAGACUUCACAGCUAAUGGUCAAAAUGGUAAAAUGCCCUGUAACUGAGCCAUCAGGUUGCUGUCAGUCAUCAGUGGAAGCCACAUACUGUUUAGUGUUGGGAAGAGCCUGCAUGUUUCAGGAUAAACAACAAAAAAGCCUUGGAUGUUGCCUGUGCUCUAAUUCAUGGUUCCCCAGUCCAGCUCUACUUCUGCCAGUGCUCAGGGUGCCAACAGAUGGGCUUUGUCAGAUUUAAUCUGGUGGUAUAAGGUGUCACCACCGCCAGCCUUCCAUCUGCUUCAGCUGCUGGAGGUUUCUGUCGCCGUCACCGGCAGCAGAGAUGAAUGUGUGGCUGCACCUCGGCUACCACAGUUGGCAGGACGUGCUUCAGCCGGCAGGCAGGACGGGCUUGCUCUAUUGAACACACAGGAUUGUCAGCCAGAGUCGCUCUGGAAUGUCCACACAGCUCGGCGCAGGAGGCAGCAACCGCCGAGCAUCACCAGCUGCCUUGGUGGCAUUUGUGUGGCCUGUUGGAGAUGAUGCGUGUGCACUUGGGACCUUGUCCUCAGGCAACACAAGACGACCUGGCAAUGAGGAUCCUGUUGGUGAUGGGCUCUUUUAUCCUGUGGAAUAGUAAGUUUCAGAGAUGCCUUUCCUUCGUGCUCCACACAGAAAACGUUAUCGAAUAGGAAGGGGACAGUGGAGGUGAACACGUUACUCCAGGACCCUCAGGUGGGGCAGAAACCCUGAAGAGGUGUUUUCCCCAUUCUCCAUGGUGUACAUAGAGUGCUUUCAAAUGACUGAAAAGAAGAAGCAUGAGUAAAAUCGGGAUUAAAAGUGCAAAUUGAAUCUGCUGUGUGAGUGUAGCUGAAGUUCUGUUCUGACAUUGGUUUGUGACAUGCAGAGAUGAUUGCUGAGGCGACGACCCGAGGUCUGCCCCCUCUGAAACCAUAGAAAUCUGUCUUGGAAAUCUGGAUCUAAGUGUUGCAUCUUGCGCUUAUCUCUAAUAAUAUGUUAAUUGCUUUAAAAAGUGAUUUCAAAGUGGUUCCUAUUAAAUAUAUGAUUUGA